This 385-nucleotide long non-coding RNA is filed under the name Cyanistes caeruleus (blue tit). Its description in RNAcentral is "lncRNA (ENSCCEG00000007895.1)". The record is from RNAcentral. Lineage: Eukaryota; Metazoa; Chordata; Aves; Passeriformes; Paridae.
UGCAGAACUGCUGUUACUAGCAAAGGGUGGUCAGGAUAGGUAGGCCAGAGAGAAGAGCCAGGGAGAAUUACUGACAGUUCUCUUUCAAAUGUUAUUAAUGAGAAAUUAAUUGGUGGCUUCAGCUCCCCAGAAGUCCUCUGCCACACUACCACAGGAUCAUAGAAAGGUUGAAGCCUGGCUGGCUUAAGCAGUUCAGGGUAUUAUCUGAGAGGAAUUUCAACUUUCCUUGGCAACAGGAGACGAAAGAAGCUCAGUAAGAGUGUCCCACCACUGAGUGUACUUCCCAGAACAUGCUGCUUCCCAGUGUCCUUGCUUCUGCUGUGGAUAUGGGGAGACGAGCUUCAUGAUUAUUAGCAGAGUCUGCACAAUAUAUUUUGUAUGUGUC